Molecule: ribosomal RNA, 253 nt
Filed under: uncultured bacterium
Lineage: Bacteria
Description: partial 16S ribosomal RNA
Rfam family: Bacterial small subunit ribosomal RNA
Source: RNAcentral
UACGGAAGGGGCUAGCGUUGUUCGGAAUUACUGGGCGUAAAGCGCGCGUAGGCGGCCAUGCAAGUGAGGCGUGAAAGGCCAGGGCUCAACCUGGGCACUGCGCUUCAGACUGCACGGCUUGAGUCCGGGAGAGGGUGGUGGAGUUCCCAGGGUAGGGGUGAACUUCGUAGAUAUUGGGAGGAACACCAGUGGCGAAGGCGGCCACCUGGCCCGGUACUGACGCUCAAGUGCGAAAGCGUGGGCGGCAAACAGG